UUUAGUGGGAGGAAGCUCGGCUGGAGUGAUAGAUGGCGUGGACAGCUGCAAUACAGCAUGAAAGGAGUGUGGGCUGGAUAGACCAGUGAACGUGUGUGUGUGUGUGUGUGUGUGUGUAGUGUGAAGGUGAGUGUGUGUCUAUACCCAUGUCUUUCCCUGUGCCUACACCUUGAUCCUACUUGAUCAGGUAAGUCCUGUGUCCCCUACCCCCAGCCCACAGGACCAUCCUAAAGUGAAAAACCAAAUUUCUCUGA
Non-coding RNA from Peromyscus californicus insignis, 254 nucleotides. RefSeq annotates it as small Cajal body-specific RNA 2. Lineage: Eukaryota; Metazoa; Chordata; Mammalia; Rodentia; Cricetidae. The record is from RefSeq and is a predicted model, not a curated record. The transcript has a single exon.